UAGGGAAUCUUCCGCAAUGGACGCAAGUCUGACGGAGCAACGCCGCGUGAGUGAAGAAGGAUUUCGGUUCGUAAAACUCUGUUGUUAGAGAAGAACAGCGCAUAGAGUAACUGUUAUGCGUGUGACGGUAUCUAACCAGAAAGCCACGGCUAACUACGUGCCAGCAGCCGCGGUAAUACGUAGGUGGCAAGCGUUGUCCGGAUUUAUUGGGCGUAAAGCGAGCGCAGGCGGUCAAUUAAGUCUGAUGUGAAAGCCCCCGGCUCAACCGGGGAGGGUCAUUGGAAACUGGUUGACUUGAGUGCAGAAGAGGAGAGGGGAAUUCCAUGUGUAGCGGUGAAAUGCGCAGAGAUAUGGAGGAACACCAGUGGCGAAGGCGACUUUCUGGUCUGUAACUGACGCUGAUGUGCGAAAGCGUGGGGAUCAAACAGG
This 429-nucleotide ribosomal RNA is filed under the name Bacteroidota bacterium. Its description in RNAcentral is "Bacteroidetes bacterium partial 16S ribosomal RNA". It matches the Rfam family "Bacterial small subunit ribosomal RNA", at positions 355 to 776 of the family's 1533-position model. Lineage: Bacteria; Pseudomonadati; Bacteroidota. The record is from RNAcentral.